Molecule: ribosomal RNA, 427 nt
Filed under: uncultured bacterium
Lineage: Bacteria
Description: partial 16S ribosomal RNA
Rfam family: Bacterial small subunit ribosomal RNA
Source: RNAcentral
UGGGGAAUAUUGGACAAUGGGCGAAAGCUUGAUCCAGCCAUGCCGCGUGUGUGAAGAAGGUCUUCGGAUUGUAAAGCACUUUAAGUUGGGAGGAAGGGCAUUAACCUAAUACGUUAGUGUUUUGACGUUACCGACAGAAUAAGCACCGGCUAACUCUGUGCCAGCAGCCGCGGUAAUACAGAGGGUGCAAGCGUUAAUCGGAAUUACUGGGCGUAAAGCGCGCGUAGGUGGUUUGUUAAGUUGGAUGUGAAAUCCCCGGGCUCAACCUGGGAACUGCAUUCAAAACUGACUGACUAGAGUAUGGUAGAGGGUGGUGGAAUUUCCUGUGUAGCGGUGAAAUGCGUAGAUAUAGGAAGGAACACCAGUGGCGAAGGCGACCACCUGGACUAAUACUGACACUGAGGUGCGAAAGCGUGGGGAGCAAACA